Trichosporon asahii var. asahii CBS 2479 is the source of this 119-nucleotide non-coding RNA. Lineage: Eukaryota; Fungi; Basidiomycota; Tremellomycetes; Trichosporonales; Trichosporonaceae. The record is from the annotation of a RefSeq genome assembly.
UCUUCGCUAGUAUAUCGGUUAGUAUAAUCGCCUCUCAAGAGAGAGUCUCUGAUCUCGUCUGCUCCUCGAGCAGCGUCAGAAGCACGCGAUAGAGCAGGGUUCGACUCCCUGGCGGAGAA